CUGCAGCAUAUGGCCAAGUGGGCAACUGUCAGAAAGGGGGGUGUCAAGGUGCCCAGACCAGAAUCCUUCUUCAGAGGAAAAUAAUCAAAAGAUCAAAUGAAACUUCUUCAUGAUUUACUGUACUGGGUGUGGUCAAGAUGAUAAGUGUCUGGGAAGUUGUUUCAAAUCAGUGCUGAAUGUUAGCUUUGCUGUCUGAAUAGAGAGUAAGGGAAUCCCUUUUUAGUUUCACUGUUGUUACUCCAACCCCUCUGUAAUCUUUCAGAAUGAGAGCAAGUGUUAAAAGAGGGAUUUGUCAGCACCUAUCAAGGUGGUCUCACUGCUGCUUCUCUUUCAAGGAGGAAGCUACUGAGUUGAAUGAAUAGAUUACUCCCGAAGAAGAAUGUUGGCUCUACCGUCUGCAAAGCAUUGCCAGUUCGUCUGUGAAUCAUUUAUCAGCUUUUGCACCAAAGCCACUCCACUACACUUCAUACAGUGAUGGCUCAUGGAAUGGGCUGGCCAGGAAGAGGAAGACUGCUCUAAGUCUUCACCUGGACUCAGACAGAAGGCAAGCUCUGCCUUGCAGGCAUAAAGCAUAAACUCUUGCAGUUUCUUCAGCAAGAGAAUGAAUGCUAUGAAAUAAGGAGCUAGUUGUUCUCAGGAAAAUGGAAUGGAAAUGAAAUAGAAAAAAGCCAAACUGUUAAAAUAAAGGAAGAAAGUAUAGUCCUUGUGGGGAGAAC
This 716-nucleotide long non-coding RNA is filed under the name Numida meleagris (helmeted guineafowl). RNAcentral describes it as "lncRNA (ENSNMEG00000022018.1)". The record is from RNAcentral. Lineage: Eukaryota; Metazoa; Chordata; Aves; Galliformes; Numididae.